AAAACAUGUCUUAUUGAUUAUAAUUUUAAGUCUAAUCUGCCCAAUGAUAUUUUAUUUAAUGGCUGCAGUAUUUAUAACUGUACAAAGGUAGCAUAAUAAUUAGUUUUUUAAUUGAAAACUAGAAUGAAAGAUUAAAUGAAAUAUAUACUAUAUAAAUAAAAUUAAAAAUUAAAAUUAAAAUUUAAGUAAAAAUUCUUAAAUUAUUUUAAAAGACGAGAAGACCCUAUAGAAUUUUAUUUUUUAUUAUUUUAAGAUUUAAUAAUAAAUUUAAAUAAAUAAUAAAAAAUUUAAUUGGGGUAAUUUUAAAAUUAAAUUAAUUUUUAUUUAAAAAACAUAAAUUAAUGAAUUUUUAA
Molecule: ribosomal RNA, 353 nt
Filed under: Praon volucre
Lineage: Eukaryota; Metazoa; Arthropoda; Insecta; Hymenoptera; Braconidae
Description: partial 16S ribosomal RNA
Source: RNAcentral